CAUCAAUCAAUCAAGCAAUGAUCUUAUUUUUGAGAGUUGGCAUAAUUAUCCAAGGAGUCUGACAAUGUUCCAUUUGGAAUAUUCAAAUGUUCUAUUUGGAAUAUUCAAAUAUUCUAUUUGGAAUAUUCAAAAACAGUAAGACAUCCAUGGAUAAAAGGCAGAAGGUGUCAGGGAAAAGCUCCUCUGUACGGAAGAAACUAUGAAGUUUAUCUCCACAAGUCUGAGCUGGAGCUGUCAAAAAAAAAAAAAAAAAGAGAGAGAGAGAAAAGAAAAGAAAGGCUGCUGGAUUCACCCUGCAUCGGCUGCAGAGGGCGCUGUGAACAUUGAAGACAGAGGGUGAAUCUAUACACUAUCAACAAUGCAGGUAUUAACAGCCUCUGGCGUGUGGUCUGAAGAUGGUUCACUUUGCCAGGAUGCACUCUCACAUCACCCAUGAGAUUUCUAUUCACCUGUAGAGGCUACCUCUGCUCUCGGGGCUGACUUGUUCCCUCCAAACUGGGAUCCUGCGAGCACUUCACUCACACUGCCACUCACCUUAAUAUCUGAUCUCUAGUGUCCUGCAAAUUCUUCUCAGUACCCUAUUAGGAUCAAGUUAUGGAAAAAAAAUCUCCUCUCGCCUUGUUUCAGACAGUGUAUAAUGGCAUACAUUUAAAAGGAAAAUUUAUAAGGAAAAAAGAAAACAUACAAAAGAAAAAAGCAUUUAUUCAAAAUACAAAUAUUUUAUCCUAAGAACAUUAAAAUAUCUACCUGGAAGUUUGUUUGAAUAGUAUAGUUUACUGGAUUCAUUUUCCAUUCUCCGUGUACCCUCCUCCACCCCCUUAUUUCUUCAGUCAUGUCAGGAAUAGUCCCCAAACUUCCCACUUCUCUUUCAGUUCUGGGUCACCCUUUCCUUCAG
This 895-nucleotide long non-coding RNA is filed under the name Equus caballus (horse). Its description in RNAcentral is "lncRNA (ENSECAG00000059142.1)". The record is from RNAcentral. Lineage: Eukaryota; Metazoa; Chordata; Mammalia; Perissodactyla; Equidae.